ACACAUGCAAGUCGAACGGCAGCACGGGAGCAAUCCUGGUGGCGAGUGGCGAACGGGUGAGUAAUACAUCGGAACGUGCCCAAUCGUGGGGGAUAACGCAGCGAAAGCUGUGCUAAUACCGCAUGAGAUCUACGGAUGAAAGCAGGGGACCGCAAGGCCUUGCGCGAAUGGAGCGGCCGAUGGCAGAUUAGGUAGUUGGUGAGGUAAAGGCUCACCAAGCCUGCGAUCUGUAGCUGGUCUGAGAGGACGACCAGCCACACUGGGACUGAGACACGGCCCAGACUCCUACGGGAGGCAGCAGUGGGGAAUUUUGGACAAUGGGCGCAAGCCUGAUCCAGCCAUGCCGCGUGCAGGAUGAGGGCCUUCGGGUUGUAAACUGCUUUUGUACGGAACGAAAAGGCUUUCUCUAAUAAAGAGGGCUCAUGACGGUACCGUAAGAAUAAGCACCGGCUAACUACGUGCCAGCAGCCGCGGUAAUACGUAGGGUGCAAGCGUUAAUCGGAAUUACUGGGCGUAAAGCGUGCGCAGGCGGUGAUGUAAGACAGUUGUGAAAUCCCCGGGCUCAACCUGGGAACUGCAUCUGUGACUGCAUCGCUGGAGUGCGGCAGAGGGGGAUGGAAUUCCGCGUGUAGCAGUGAAAUGCGUAGAUAUGCGGAGGAACACCGAUGGCGAAGGCAAUCCCCUGGGCCUGCACUGACGCUCAUGCACGAAAGCGUGGGGAGCAAACAGGAUUAGAUACCCUGGUAGUCCACGCCCUAAACGAUGUCAACUGGUUGUUGGGUCUUCACUGACUCAGUAACGAAGCUAACGCGUGAAGUUGACCGCCUGGGAGUAC
This 835-nucleotide ribosomal RNA is filed under the name uncultured bacterium. RNAcentral's name for it is "bacterial SSU rRNA". It matches the Rfam family "Bacterial small subunit ribosomal RNA", at positions 51 to 883 of the family's 1533-position model. The record is from RNAcentral.